UGUAAAAUAAGCUAAAAUUUAAGCUGUUGGGUUCAUACCCCAAAAAUGAAUAAGAGAUUCUUUUACAA
This 68-nucleotide transfer RNA is filed under the name Littorina obtusata. RNAcentral's name for it is "tRNA-Met". RNAcentral also lists the same sequence under 3 other names. The record is from RNAcentral. Lineage: Eukaryota; Metazoa; Mollusca; Gastropoda; Littorinimorpha; Littorinidae.